RNAcentral lists this ribosomal RNA (468 nucleotides) under uncultured bacterium. Its description in RNAcentral is "partial 16S ribosomal RNA". It matches the Rfam family "Bacterial small subunit ribosomal RNA", at positions 28 to 507 of the family's 1533-position model. The record is from RNAcentral.
GACGAACGCUGGCGGCGUGCUUAACACAUGCAAGUCGAACGGAAAGGCCCUGCUUUUGUGGGGUGCUCGAGUGGCGCACGGGUGUGUAACACGUGAGUAUCCUGCCCUUGACUUUGGGAUAACUUCAGGAAACUGCGGCUACUACCGGAUAGGAGCUCCUGCUGCAUGGUGGUGGUUGGACAGUUUCGGCUGUUGGGGAUGGACUCGCGGCUUAUCAGCUUGUUGGUGGGGUAGUGGCUUACCAAGGCUUUGACGGGUAGCCGGCAUGAGAGGUUGAACGGGGACAUGGGGACUGAGAGAGGGCGCAGACGCGUACGGGAGGCAGCAGGGGGGAAUAUGGCACAGUGGGGGGAAGCGUGAGGCAGCAACGCCGGGAGCGGGAUGACGGCUUUCGGGUGGUAAACCGCUGUCGCCUGUGACGAAGCGUGAGUGACGGUAAUGAGUAAAGAAGCACCGGCUAACUACGUG